RNAcentral lists this ribosomal RNA (292 nucleotides) under uncultured Glomeromycotina. RNAcentral describes it as "partial 18S ribosomal RNA". It matches the Rfam family "Eukaryotic small subunit ribosomal RNA", at positions 569 to 867 of the family's 1831-position model. Lineage: Eukaryota; Fungi; Glomeromycota. The record is from RNAcentral.
AGCAGCCGCGGUAAUUCCAGCUCCAAUAGCGUAUAUUAAAGUUGUUGCAGUUAAAAAGCUCGUAGUUGAAUUUCGAGACCGGUCUACUGGUCGUGCUUUUGUACGUACUGGUUUUAUUGGUUUCUCCUUUCUGACGAACUAUAAUGCCAUUAAUUUGGUGUUAUGGGGAAUCAGGACUGUUACUUUGAAAAAUUAGAGUGUUUAAAGCAGGCUCACGCUUGAAUACAUUAGCAUGGAAUAACGGAAUAGGACGUUUGAUUCUAUUUUGUUGGUUUCUAGGAUCGACGUAAUG